GACGAACGCUGGCGGCGUGCUUAACACAUGCAAGUCGAACGGAAAGGCCCUGCUUUUGUGGGGUGCUCGAGUGGCGAACGGGUGAGUAACACGUGAGUAACCUGCCCUUGACUUUGGGAUAACUUCAGGAAACUGGGGCUAAUACCGGAUAGGAGCUCCUGCUGCAUGGUGGGGGUUGGAACGUCUCGGCGGUUGGGGAUGGACUCGCGGCUUAUCAGCUUGUUGGUGGGGUAGUGGCUUACCAAGGCUUUGACGGGUAGCCGGCCUGAGAGGGUGACCGGCCACAUUGGGACUGAGAUACGGCCCAGACUCCUACGGGAGGCAGCAGUGGGGAAUAUUGCACAAUGGGCGGAAGCCUGAUGCAGCAACGCCGCGUGCGGGAUGACGGCCUUCGGGUUGUAAACCGCUUUCGCCUGUGACGAAGCGUGAGUGACGGUAAUGGGUAAAGAAGCACCGGCUAACUACGUG
This 468-nucleotide ribosomal RNA is filed under the name uncultured bacterium. Its description in RNAcentral is "partial 16S ribosomal RNA". It matches the Rfam family "Bacterial small subunit ribosomal RNA", at positions 28 to 507 of the family's 1533-position model. The record is from RNAcentral.